CAGCAGCCGCGGUAAUACGGAGGGGGCUAGCGUUGUUCGGAAUUACUGAGCGUAAAGGGUGCGUAGGCGGCUUGACAAGUCUUGUGUGAAAUCUAUGGGCUCAACUCAUAGUCUGCACGGUAAACUGUCGGGCUUGAGAAUGGGAGAGGUGAGUGGAAUUCCGCGUGUAGCAGUGAAAUGCGUAGAUAUGCGGAGGAACACCGAUGGCGAAGGCAAUCCCCUGGACCUGUACUGACGCUCAUGCACGAAAGCGUGGGGAGCAAACAGGAUUAGAUACCCGAGUAGUCCCUGUCUCUUAUAC
RNAcentral lists this ribosomal RNA (301 nucleotides) under uncultured bacterium. Its description in RNAcentral is "partial 16S ribosomal RNA". It matches the Rfam family "Bacterial small subunit ribosomal RNA", at positions 509 to 807 of the family's 1533-position model. The record is from RNAcentral.